UCCUCUGUAGUAUAGUUGGUUAGUACAUAAGUCUCAUAAUCUUACGACCCGAGUUCGAAUCUCGUCGGAGGAA
Molecule: transfer RNA, 73 nt
Filed under: Mrakia frigida
Lineage: Eukaryota; Fungi; Basidiomycota; Tremellomycetes; Cystofilobasidiales; Mrakiaceae
Description: tRNA-Met (CAT) (tRNA-Met-CAT-1-1, tRNA-Met-CAT-1-2)
Rfam family: tRNA
About the family: Transfer RNA (tRNA) molecules are approximately 80 nucleotides in length.
Source: RNAcentral